This 381-nucleotide long non-coding RNA is filed under the name Calidris pugnax (ruff). RNAcentral describes it as "lncRNA (ENSCPUG00000012768.1)". The record is from RNAcentral. Lineage: Eukaryota; Metazoa; Chordata; Aves; Charadriiformes; Scolopacidae.
ACCUUCACUUGAACUACUGUCAUUUUGUCAAGCUCUCUGACAGGACCCAAGUAACUCUAGUAGAGAGAGAUUUAUUCUUCAGAAACACAGAGUAUAUUCUGUAGGAAUAUAUUCUGUAAAAAUAAUAAAUGGCAUAUACUUUUUGACUGCUUUUGCCCUUAAGAGGCCUGGAAAGUAAGAUUUUCUGUAGACGUCAACUUCUCUCUGGUUUGAUGCCCCAUUCUUCUGCUGAUGCCACAUGCACCACUGAUUAGUACGGGGAAAUGGAAGAGGUCUCUUGAAAUAAGGUAGGUCUCUUUAUUUUCUAUAAGGGCAUGGGUUGAUUAUCAUGUUCAUAAUUACUUUUCUAUUUAAAAUAAAUGAAGUCAAACAGGUAUUUUA